Molecule: ribosomal RNA, 681 nt
Filed under: Enterobacter sp. K66-74
Lineage: Bacteria; Pseudomonadati; Pseudomonadota; Gammaproteobacteria; Enterobacterales; Enterobacteriaceae
Description: bacterial LSU rRNA
Rfam family: Bacterial large subunit ribosomal RNA
Source: RNAcentral
GGGUUGUGAGGUUAAGCGACUAAGCGUACACGGUGGAUGCCCUGGCAGUCAGAGGCGAUGAAGGACGUGCUAAUCUGCGAAAAGCGCCGGCGAGGUGAUAUGAACCUUUGACCCGGCGAUGUCCGAAUGGGGAAACCCAGUGCAAUUCGUUGCACUAUCGUUAACUGAAUACAUAGGUUAACGAGGCGAACCGGGGGAACUGAAACAUCUAAGUACCCCGAGGAAAAGAAAUCAACCGAGAUUCCCCCAGUAGCGGCGAGCGAACGGGGAGCAGCCCAGAGUCUGAAUCAGCUUGUGUGUUAGUGGAAGCGUCUGGAAAGUCGCACGGUACAGGGUGACAGUCCCGUACACGAAAGCACACAGGUUGUGAACUCGAAGAGUAGGGCGGGACACGUGGUAUCCUGUCUGAAUAUGGGGGGACCAUCCUCCAAGGCUAAAUACUCCUGACUGACCGAUAGUGAACCAGUACCGUGAGGGAAAGGCGAAAAGAACCCCGGCGAGGGGAGUGAAAAAGAACCUGAAACCGUGUACGUACAAGCAGUGGGAGCACCUUCGUGGUGUGACUGCGUACCUUUUGUAUAAUGGGUCAGCGACUUAUAUUCUGUAGCAAGGUUAACCGUAUAGGGGAGCCGAAGGGAAACCGAGUCUUAACUGGGCGUUAAGUUGCAGGGUAUAGACCCG